UGGAAUCCAAGUUACACUUCCGCUUCUUCGC
This 31-nucleotide non-coding RNA is filed under the name Homo sapiens (human). The record is from RNAcentral. Lineage: Eukaryota; Metazoa; Chordata; Mammalia; Primates; Hominidae.